UGUAGCUCAGUGGUACAGUGCUUGCCUGGCAAGCAUGAGGCCCUGAGUUCAAGUCCUAGCA
Molecule: transfer RNA, 61 nt
Filed under: Heterocephalus glaber (naked mole-rat)
Lineage: Eukaryota; Metazoa; Chordata; Mammalia; Rodentia; Bathyergidae
Rfam family: tRNA
About the family: Transfer RNA (tRNA) molecules are approximately 80 nucleotides in length.
Source: Rfam by way of RNAcentral